GAACGCUGGCGGCAUGCCUAACACAUGCAAGUCGAACGGCAGCACAGCAGUAGCAAUACGUGUGGGUGGCGAGUGGCGGACGGGUGAGGAAUACGUCGGAAUCUGCCCAGUCGUGGGGAUAACUAGCCGAAAGGUUAGCUAAUACCGCAUACGACCGAGAGGUGAAAGCGGGGACCGCAAGGCCUCGCGCGAUUGGAUGAGCCGACGUCGGAUUAGCUAGUUGGCGGGUAAAGGCCCACCAAGGCGACGAUCCGUAGCUGGUCUGAGAGGAUGAUCAGCCACACUGGAACUGAGACACGGUCCAGACUCCUACGGGAGGCAGCAGUGGGGAAUAUUGGACAAUGGGCGCAAGCCUGAUCCAGCAAUGCCGCGUGUGUGAAGAAGGCCUUCGGGUUGUAAAGCACUUUUAUCAGGAACGAAAAGCGUUGGAUUAAUACUCUGACGUGCUGACGGUACCUGAGGAAUAAGCACCGGCUAACUUCGUG
RNAcentral lists this ribosomal RNA (485 nucleotides) under uncultured bacterium. RNAcentral describes it as "bacterial SSU rRNA". It matches the Rfam family "Bacterial small subunit ribosomal RNA", at positions 31 to 507 of the family's 1533-position model. The record is from RNAcentral.